Molecule: ribosomal RNA, 514 nt
Filed under: Centruroides luceorum
Lineage: Eukaryota; Metazoa; Arthropoda; Arachnida; Scorpiones; Buthidae
Description: partial large subunit ribosomal RNA
Rfam family: Eukaryotic large subunit ribosomal RNA
Source: RNAcentral
CCAAGGAGUCUAACAUGUGCGCGAGUCAUUGGGUCUUGUUCAGGCCCAGAGGCGCAAUGAAAGUGAAGGACGCCCCAGUCGGUGUCUGCGUUGGGAUCCCGGGGCCGCGAGCCUCGGGCGCACCAACGGCCCGUCCCGUCCGCCACGUCGGUGGGACGGAGCGAGAGCGUACACGUUGGGACCCGAAAGAUGGUGAACUAUGCCUGGGCAGGACGAGGCCAGAGGAAACUCUGGUGGAGGUCCGCAGCGAUUCUGACGUGCAAAUCGAUCGUCAGACCUUGGUAUAGGGGCGAAAGACUAAUCGAACCGUCUAGUAGCUGGUUCCCUCCGAAGUUUCCCUCAGGAUAGCUGGUGCUCGAUCGGAAUCAGUCUCAUCCGGUAAAGCGAAUGAUUAGAGGCCUUGGGGCCGAAACGACCUCAACCUAUUCUCAAACUUUCAAUGGGUGAGAAGUCCGGUUUACCCGACUGAAGCCCGGACGAUUCUCAGGAUGUGAGUGCCCAGUGGGCCACUUUU